UGAGUAACCUGCCCUUAACUCUGGGAUAAGCCUGGGAAACUGGGUCUAAUACCGGAUAUGACUCCUCAUCGCAUGGUGGGGGGUGGAAAGCUUUAUUGUGGUUUUGGAUGGACUCGCGGCCUAUCAGCUAGUUGGUGUGGGUAACGGCCCACCAAGGCGACGACGGGUAGCCGGCCUGAGAGGGUGACCGGCCACACUGGGACUGAGACACGGCCCAGACUCCUACGGGAGGCAG
Molecule: ribosomal RNA, 235 nt
Filed under: uncultured bacterium
Lineage: Bacteria
Description: partial 16S ribosomal RNA
Rfam family: Bacterial small subunit ribosomal RNA
Source: RNAcentral